AGUGAACGCUGGCGGCAGGCCUAACACAUGCAAGUCGAACGGCAGCACAAGAGAGCUUGCUCUCUGGGUGGCGAGUGGCGGACGGGUGAGGAAUGCAUCGGAAUCUGCCCAUUUGUGGGGGAUAACCUCGGGAAACCGGGACUAAUACCGCAUACGACCUACGGGUGAAAGCAGGGGAUCUUCGGACCUUGCGCAGAUGGAUGAGCCGAUGCCGGAUUAGCUAGUUGGAGGGGUAAAGGCCCACCAAGGCGACGAUCCGUAGCUGGUCUGAGAGGAUGAUCAGCCACACUGGGACUGAGACACGGCCCAGACUCCUACGGGAGGCAGCAGUGGGGAAUAUUGGACAAUGGGCGCAAGCCUGAUCCAGCCAUGCCGCGUGUGUGAAGAAGGCCUUCGGGUUGUAAAGCACUUUUGUUGGGAAAGAAAAGCAGCCGGUUAAUACCCGGUUGUCAUGACGGUACCCAAAGAAUAAGCACCGGCAAACUUCGUG
RNAcentral lists this ribosomal RNA (490 nucleotides) under uncultured bacterium. Its description in RNAcentral is "partial 16S ribosomal RNA". It matches the Rfam family "Bacterial small subunit ribosomal RNA", at positions 29 to 507 of the family's 1533-position model. The record is from RNAcentral.